AAGGGGAUUGGAAACGACCGCCCACGCCCUAUGUAAAAGGACUGACAUCCGGUGAAGCACUCUGUGUAAUUAUUGCGCUCGCAAAUAAUUACAUGGAGGACUGCGCUACAGUUUUGUAUCCCUGGUUUCUAGCUCUCCUAUCCACUAGAGAUCACUCAGGGCCUGGGAGAUACUUGAGAGAAGUAAGCUUAUACCACUGACAAGCUCUAAGUCCGUUGUCUUUACUCUAUUUCCAAUUUUUUUGAGUUUAGCUUGAAUUACUCUAUGUCAACUUUUCUCUGUCCCUCCUGUGAAGUCAAAACAGCAAAGGACAUUGCUUGACUUGGUUAUUAUGUAUCUAAGUGCUACAUAGAAUGGCUUCAUGCUAUAAAUAAGCUGUACUGUUCAUAAACGUUUGCAGUAUAGUCCUUUAAACUGCUUUAGUAUACUUUUAGACACACCACGGGCCUGUCCCUCCUACGACUUCAUAGUAAAGGCUAUUUCUUCUUGCAUAGCAUUUAUUUGUCUAGUAAUAGUGGCUGCAUGGCUUAGUCGACUUUUUAGAGCUAAAUUCUCUUUACUUUUUAGAAAAAUCAACAUUAAAAAUGAUCAAUUUCACUGUUUCUAUGUACAGCACAUUGUAGAGCUCUGAUUGUAGAGCAGUCAAGACAGGUAAUGAGCAUGCUGAGUAUAAAUAAUUAUAAUCCUUUGUAGUUUCCAAUCCCCUUUCUUUUGUAUCUCUGAGUCUACUGAUAAAAAAAGUGAAUAGAGGCGCUAUAGAUUAUAUCUCUGCAUUAUAAAUAGCUUACUUGAUGAUGUCUGAGCAAGUGACUGGUACUAGCUGUUGCAUGCAAUCUCUAAUAGUUCAUGGAGACUACCUGAGUGUAGAGAGAGCUCCACACUGUCCUCUGCAUCAAGAGAGCAACACUUUACAGUGCGGGCAGCUAGUGGGCUGCUGCGUUCCAUGCUGUCAGGAAGAAGCAUCCUCUCCAUCCUCAACCCCUCAAGAUCCACAGGCUGCAUCACAAGACGGUGUAUCUCUGGACUCAACCCCUCACAACUACACACUCAGAACGAUAGUGACAGGCCUCAUAGUGAGAGUGGAUCUCUUCAAAUUCUGUACGCACUAGCAGACAUUACGAGCAAGCAACCCAGGGCACUGCCAUCUCUAUACACACGUUUCCAACAUGACUGUUGCAAUAAUAAUCUUUGUAUACUUACCGUGUUUUGUUUGAUACCCAUUUUUGUACCAUUAAUAUUUUGUGA
Molecule: long non-coding RNA, 1245 nt
Organism: Halichondria panicea
Lineage: Eukaryota; Metazoa; Porifera; Demospongiae; Suberitida; Halichondriidae
Exons: 3
Source: RefSeq, a predicted model, not a curated record